UACGUAGGGCGCAAGCGUUGUCCGGAAUUAUUGGGCGUAAAGAGCUCGUAGGCGGCUUGUCACGUCGGGUGUGAAAGCCCGGGGCUUAACCCCGGGUCUGCAUUCGAUACGGGCUGGCUAGAGUGUGGUAGGGGAGAUCGGAAUUCCUGGUGUAGCGGUGAAAUGCGCAGAUAUCGAGAGGAACACCUGCGGCGAAGGCGGGUUGCUGGGCUGACACUGACGCUGAGGCGCGAAAGCUAGGGGAGCGAACGGG
Molecule: ribosomal RNA, 253 nt
Filed under: uncultured bacterium
Lineage: Bacteria
Description: partial 16S ribosomal RNA
Rfam family: Bacterial small subunit ribosomal RNA
Source: RNAcentral